RNAcentral lists this ribosomal RNA (454 nucleotides) under uncultured bacterium. RNAcentral's name for it is "partial 16S ribosomal RNA". It matches the Rfam family "Bacterial small subunit ribosomal RNA", at positions 28 to 507 of the family's 1533-position model. The record is from RNAcentral.
GAUGAACGCUGACAGCAUGCUUAACACAUGCAAGUCAACUUGAACUUCGGUUUGGGUGGCGGACGGGUGAGUAACGCGUAAAGAACUUGCCUCACAGAUAGGGACAACAUUUGGAAACGAAUGCUAAUACCUGAUAUUAUGAUUUUAGGGCAUCCUAGGAGUAUGAAAGCUAUAUGCGCUGUGAGAGAGCUUUGCGUCCCAUUAGCUAGUUGGAGAGGUAACGGAUCACCAAGGCGAUGAUGGGUAGCCGGCCUGAGAGGGUGGUCGGCCACAAGGAGACGGAGACACGGCCCUUACUCCUACGGGAGGCAGCAGUGGGGAAUAAUGGACAAUGGACCAAGAGUCUGAUCCAGCAAUUCUGUGUGAACGAUGAAGUGUUUCGGAAUGUAAAGUGAUUUCAGUUGUAAAGAAAAAAAUGACGGUACCAACAGAAGAAGUGACGGCUAAAUACGUG